This 462-nucleotide ribosomal RNA is filed under the name uncultured Pseudomonas sp. RNAcentral's name for it is "bacterial SSU rRNA". It matches the Rfam family "Bacterial small subunit ribosomal RNA", at positions 338 to 795 of the family's 1533-position model. The record is from RNAcentral. Lineage: Bacteria; Pseudomonadati; Pseudomonadota; Gammaproteobacteria; Pseudomonadales; Pseudomonadaceae.
CCUACGGGUGGCUGCAGUGGGGAAUAUUGGACAAUGGGCGAAAGCCUGAUCCAGCCAUGCCGCGUGUGUGAAGAAGGUCUUCGGAUUGUAAAGCACUUUAAGUUGGGAGGAAGGGCAGUAAAUUAAUACUUUGCUGUUUUGACGUUACCGACAGAAUAAGCACCGGCUAACUCUGUGCCAGCAGCCGCGGUAAUACAGAGGGUGCAAGCGUUAAUCGGAAUUACUGGGCGUAAAGCGCGCGUAGGUGGUUCGUGAAGUUGGAUGUGAAAUCCCCGGGCUCAACCUGGGAACUGCAUUCAAAACUGACGAGCUAGAGUAUGGUAGAGGGUGGUGGAAUUUCCUGUGUAGCGGUGAAAUGCGUAGAUAUAGGAAGGAACACCAGUGGCGAAGGCGACCACCUGGACUGAUACUGACACUGAGGUGCGAAAGCGUGGGGAGCAAACAGGAUUAACCCCGGUAGUC